RNAcentral lists this microRNA (22 nucleotides) under Monodelphis domestica (gray short-tailed opossum). RNAcentral's name for it is "mdo-miR-7268-3p". Lineage: Eukaryota; Metazoa; Chordata; Mammalia; Didelphimorphia; Didelphidae. The record is from miRBase by way of RNAcentral.
AGGAUGGCUCUGACCAGCUUCU